GUCAACUUCUGAUAUUUUGUAAUUAUCUGUGAAUUUCUUCAUCAUACAUGCACCAUUUUCUGAUAAUUUUGUUAACUCAAAGAAAAAUGAUUGAUUACUCAAAAAUAGAAACAUUCCUGCUGAAGAUAGUUUUCAUAUAUAUAUCAAGAGUCACUUUUCUGAGUUGAACCCUCUGCUAUAUUUCACCCAUUCUCAGAGUACAUAGCUGCUUUCCCAUUUCUCUCACUGCAAACCUUCUUCAUUAUCUUUCUUUCUUUUUUCAUUUUCUUUAUACUCACCUGCAAUGUGCUUGUCUAUUUGCUGUAAUGAAUCUCUUUCCAUAUCCUUCUUCUUUCAUCACCACAACAUUGUCAGGGCACCACAUCUUGGCAUUCUUAUGAACAUCAUGAAGCAAGUUUUAAUGGGAAUAUGGCUUGACAUAUUUAUGCCUAUAAAUAUGGGUACA
RNAcentral lists this small RNA (445 nucleotides) under Histoplasma capsulatum. RNAcentral's name for it is "hypothetical RNA". RNAcentral also lists the same sequence under 1 other name. The record is from RNAcentral. Lineage: Eukaryota; Fungi; Ascomycota; Eurotiomycetes; Onygenales; Ajellomycetaceae.